Molecule: ribosomal RNA, 291 nt
Filed under: uncultured bacterium
Lineage: Bacteria
Description: partial 16S ribosomal RNA
Rfam family: Bacterial small subunit ribosomal RNA
Source: RNAcentral
GGAUUAGAUACCCUGGUAGUCCACGCUGUAAACGAUGGAUACUAGCUGUUCGACGAGAUUAAUUGUUGAGUGGCUAAGCGAAAGUGAUAAGUAUCCCACCUGGGGAGUACGUUCGCAAGAAUGAAACUCAAAGGAAUUGACGGGGGCCCGCACAAGCGGUGGAGCAUGUGGUUUAAUUCGAUGAUACGCGAGGAACCUUACCAGGGCUUAAAUGUAGAUUGACAGGUUUGGAAACAGACUUUUCUUCGGACAAUUUACAAGGUGCUGCAUGGUUGUCGUCAGCUCGUGCCG